GGAGUUUGGGCCGUGUCUCAGUCCCAAUGUGGCCGGUCGCCCUCUCAGGCCGGCUACUGAUCGUCGCUUUGGUAGGCCGUUACCCUGCCAACUGGCUAAUCAGACGCGGGGCCAUCCCAUUCCACCUCAGUUUUUCACACUGUGAGAUGUCUCACUGUGCGCUUAUGCGGUAUUAACAGUCGUUUCCAACUGGUAUCCCCCGGAAUGGGGCAGGUUCCCCACGCGUUACUCACCCGUCCGCCACUCGGUCUGCACCGCUUCCAUCCGAAAACUUCCGCAGUACAGCCUCGUUCGACUUGCAUGUGUUAAGCACGCCGCCAGCGUUCAUC
This 329-nucleotide ribosomal RNA is filed under the name uncultured Lachnospiraceae bacterium. Its description in RNAcentral is "partial 16S ribosomal RNA". Lineage: Bacteria; Bacillati; Bacillota; Clostridia; Lachnospirales; Lachnospiraceae. The record is from RNAcentral.